This 497-nucleotide ribosomal RNA is filed under the name uncultured bacterium. RNAcentral describes it as "partial 16S ribosomal RNA". It matches the Rfam family "Bacterial small subunit ribosomal RNA", at positions 28 to 507 of the family's 1533-position model. The record is from RNAcentral.
GAUGAACGCUGGCGGCGUGCCUAAUACAUGCAAGUCGAGCGAACAGACGAGGAGCUUGCUCCUCUGACGUUAGCGGCGGACGGGUGAGUAACACGUGGAUAACCUACCUAUAAUACUGGGAUAACUUCGGGAAACCGGAGCUAAUACCGGAUAAUAUAUUCAACCGCAUGGUUCAAUAGUGAAAGACGGUUUUGCUGUCACUUAUAGAUGGAUCCGCGCCGCAUUAGCUAGUUGGUAAGGUAACGGCUUACCAAGGCGACGAUGCGUAGCCGACCUGAGAGGAUGAUCGGCCACACUGGAACUGAGACACGGUCCAGACUCCUACGGGAGGCAGCAGUAGGGAAUCUUCCGCAAUGGGCGAAAGCCUGACGGAGCAACGCCGCGUGAGUGAUGAAGGUCUUCGGAUCGUAAAACUCUGUUAUUAGGGAAGAACAAAUGUGUAAGUAACUAUGCACGUCUUGACGGUACCUAAUCAGAAAGCCACGGCUAACUACGUG